Molecule: ribosomal RNA, 497 nt
Filed under: uncultured bacterium
Lineage: Bacteria
Description: partial 16S ribosomal RNA
Rfam family: Bacterial small subunit ribosomal RNA
Source: RNAcentral
GAUGAACGCUGGCGGCGUGCCUAAUACAUGCAAGUCGAGCGAACAGACGAGGAGCUUGCUCCUCUGACGUUAGCGGCGGACGGGUGAGUAACACGUGGAUAACCUACCUAUAAGACUGGGAUAACUUCGGGAAACCGGAGCUAAUACCGGAUAAUAUAUUGAACCGCAUGGGUCAAUAGUGAAAGACGGUUUUGCUGUCACUUAUAGAUGGAUCUGGGCCGCAUUAGCUAGUUGGUAAGGUAACGGCUUACCAAGGCAACGAUGCGUAGCCGACCUGAGAGGCGGGUAGGCGACAUGGGAACGGAGACGCCGACCAGACGCCUGAGGGAGGCAGCAGUCGGGAACCGUACGCAGUGGGCGAAAGCAUGACGCAGCAAGGCCGCGUGAGUGAUGAAGGCCCUGGGAGCGUAAAGCUCUGUUAUGAGGGAAGAACAAAUGUGUAAGUAACUAUGCACGUCUUGACGGUACCUAGUCAGAAAGCCACGGCUAGCUACGUG